UCCGUACAUAAAUUUUUUCUUGAUUGAAGAGUUAUAUUAUAAUAUAGAAGGAAGGACAUCAUUAGUCCUAUAUUAAUUGUGAAUUAAGAGAGACUUUGACUUAUAUAGGAAGAAUCAGAACGGACAAUACCUCAUAUGUCGAAUCAUGAGCCCUUGACCGCAAAGAUAUGUAUUAGUCUAGUUGGCUCCAAAUAAGAUCAGCCUCAUGCACAUUUUGAUGGUCUAUC
This 227-nucleotide long non-coding RNA is filed under the name Elaeis guineensis (African oil palm). RNAcentral's name for it is "long non-coding RNA (EGUI_LNC012378)". Lineage: Eukaryota; Viridiplantae; Streptophyta; Magnoliopsida; Arecales; Arecaceae. The record is from RNAcentral.